UACGGGGGGGGUAAGCGUUGUUCGGAAUUACUGGGCGUAAAGGGCGCGUAGGCGGUCUUUCAAGUCCCGUGUGAAAUCCCUCGGCUCAACUGAGGAACUGCACGGGAAACUGUCUGGCUUGAGUUCGGGAGAGGGAAGCGGAAUUCCGGGUGUAGCGGUGAAAUGCGUAGAUAUCCGGAGGAACACCGGUGGCGAAGGCGGCUUCCUGGACCGACACUGACGCUGAGGCGCGAAAGCUAGGGGAGCAAACAGG
RNAcentral lists this ribosomal RNA (253 nucleotides) under uncultured bacterium. Its description in RNAcentral is "partial 16S ribosomal RNA". It matches the Rfam family "Bacterial small subunit ribosomal RNA", at positions 524 to 776 of the family's 1533-position model. The record is from RNAcentral.